This 460-nucleotide ribosomal RNA is filed under the name uncultured bacterium. RNAcentral's name for it is "partial 16S ribosomal RNA". It matches the Rfam family "Bacterial small subunit ribosomal RNA", at positions 338 to 795 of the family's 1533-position model. The record is from RNAcentral.
CCUACGGGAGGCAGCAGUGAGGAAUAUUGGUCAAUGGACGAGAGUCUGAACCAGCCAAGUAGCGUGAAGGAUGACUGCCCUAGGGGUGGUAAACUUCUUUUAUAUGGGAAUAAAAUGUUCCACGUGUGGGAUUUUGUAUGUACCAUAUGAACAAGGACAGGCUAACUUCGUGCCAGCAGCCGCGGGAAUACGGAGGAUCCGAGCGUUAUCCGGAUUAAUUGGGUUUAAAGGGAGCGUAGGUGGAUUGUUAAGUCCGUUGUGAAAGUUUGCGGCUCAACCGUAAAAUUGCAGUUGAAACUGGCAGUCUUGAGUACAGUAGAGGUGAGCGGAAUUCGUGGUGUAGCGGUGAAAUGCUUAGAUAUCACGAAGAACUCCGAUUGCGAAGGCAGUUCACUGGACUGCAACUGACACUGAGGCUCGAAAGUGUGGGUAUCAAACAGGAGUAGAUACCCUAGUAGUC